This 329-nucleotide unclassified non-coding RNA is filed under the name Hevea brasiliensis (rubber tree). The record is from RNAcentral. Lineage: Eukaryota; Viridiplantae; Streptophyta; Magnoliopsida; Malpighiales; Euphorbiaceae.
UUGAACCAGUGAUGCUUGAAGAUGGUGAAGCUGGAGAUGCAUUAAAGAAUAGGAUACCCAGAACCAGUUCCUUGGAUGGCAUAGAACUGCAAGUUGUAGACAGUAUAUCAAAAGAUAGAGAUACAGCGGGUAAUUCCACUACAGCUACUGGGAACAUGGAAGUAGUCUCUGAAAUUGAGGACUCUAUGAACCAAUCUGUUUCCCCCAUUUCCCAAUUACAUAGUUCAUUGGAAAUUGAUGAUUUGAAGGGAAAUUUUCCAUUUGCUAGUCCACCAAAAGGAAUAUCUGUAGAAGCAGAUUAUGUAACAAGCAAAUCUACAUCUGCUGUC